AUGGGCAUCCUAGGCAACAUCCUGUCGUUCCUGGUUAUCCUGGCGCCGGUGCCGACGUUCUACCGUGUGUACACGAGGAAGUCGACGGAGUCGUUCCAGUCAGUUCCCUACGCGAUGGCGCUGCUGAGCGCAAUGCUGUGGCUCUACUACGCGCUGCUCACCAAAGACCUCCUCCUCCUCACCAUCAACACGGUGGGGUGCGUCGUCGAGUCCGCCUACCUCGCCAUCUACCUCGCCUACGCGCCCAAGCAGGCCAGGGCCUUCACCGCCAAGCUCGUGGGCAUCAUGAACGUGGCGCUCUACGGGGCCAUGGUCUGCGUCCUGCAGCUGUUGGUCAAGGACGGCGAGAGCCGCGUCACCAUCGCCGGUGGCAUCGGCUCCGCCUUCGCGCUCGCCGUCUUCGUCGCCCCUCUCGCCAUCAUCAGGCAAGUGAUCGGGACCAAGAGCGUGGAGUUCCUGCCCUUCUGGCUAUCCUUCUUCCUCACCAUCAGCGCCGUCGUCUGGUUCUUCUACGGCCUACUCAUGAAAGAUUUCUUCGUGGCGACACCCAACGUGCUGGGGCUGCUGUUCGGGCUGGCCCAGAUGUCGUUGCACCUGGUGUACAAGAACCCCAAGAAGAAGGGCGCCGUGUCGGAGGUACAGGUCCCGGCGGACGACGAGAAGAACCAGCUGCCACUUCAGCAGCAGCAGGCCGGCACAACGGCACACGUCGUUGCGCCCAUCAUCGAAGCCGACGAGGAGGUCGUGAACGGCAGGGAGGACGACGGCGGCGACAAGCAGCAAAGCGUGUCCGUGGUGGACAUCGUGCUGCCGCCCCCCGAGGAGCACCCCACACUGCCGCCAGUCGACCACCCUGCGCCACUGCCGCCCAUGAGAAUGGCCGUCGAGGUGGUCUGA
Molecule: ribosomal RNA, 897 nt
Filed under: Triticum aestivum (bread wheat)
Lineage: Eukaryota; Viridiplantae; Streptophyta; Magnoliopsida; Poales; Poaceae
Description: partial small subunit ribosomal RNA
Source: RNAcentral